CACUGCGCCAUGACGGGAACUCCCAAGCAGAUUGUUAUCACCACGUACCAUGCCUGCCACAAACACCAGAAAGUUGAGAACCACGAUCCCCAAACCCUUAUUUUCUUCUGCUCACUUCUGCUUGUCAGAUGCUGCACUUAGCUAUGGCCUCAAACCUUCACUGACCCACGCAUCUCCCCCUCCUCCCUGCCACUGGAAGGAAACCAUGGCAUCAGAACACAUUGGGACUGGCAGCUGCCUCCAGCACAAGGACUCAGAGUCGCAUCAUUGGAUUCCUGGACCCACUUGUGCCUGCUAUCAGCUUCCUGUUCCUGAGGCCCCCGAGAUUCACGGCUCUCCCCUGCAAGUCUCGUGUUUAUGAAUUGCGUCCUCAUUCGCCGGGGAAGGCCCUGCAGACUCCAGCCUGCUCGAAGGAAAUGCCAGAAACCCUGCUAAUUCCCCGGGCUCCCACCCUCCUCAGAGCCGGAGCCGCAGGAUGACAGAGCUGGCCUGGCUUUUCUUUAUCCCUCCCAAAUGAGAGCUCAUUUUUAAAAAGAAACUCAGCAAAAGGAUCUGGGGGGCGUGGGGGCGGGCAAUGAAGCCACUUCCAUCUGUCUUCCUGGCGUGUGGGAUGCAGAGGAGAGAUUUUGGAGAUGCAUGGAUCUGGGUUCGAAUCUGGCUCUGCUGCUCACCAGCUCUGUCCUGUGGGCCCGUCACCUGUCUGCGGAAAGUCUCCUUCCUCCAUUUCCUUCCUCUGUCCUGGAUCUUUGUGAGAAACGCCUCCUGACGGCAAAUGAGAGCUACCUGCAGACCCAGAAGCUUUCCCAGCUACCCGGUCCUUCUUCCUUCCCGACACGGGCCAAACAGCAUCUUCUCCUGCCAUGAGUGAGUCUGUGGGGGCUCUACUCCACAUGCCUGCUUGCCUGGGCUUGGCCAUCUUUUUCUUCCUAGACCUUGCUCUCUUCAUAACUUACUCUCCUUUUCAACAACCUUGAACCAUACCAAGUCUCUCCAUCCUAGCAAAACCCAAAUGUAAUUCUUCCCCCACUUGCCCGUCCAGCUCCUGCCUGUUGCCUCGCCUCCACUCUCACACUGUGCCUGCUGGACCUGCACUGGCAGUCUUCUCAUUAGGAUCUUCAGUGAGCUUUAUCCUACCUGACCUCUUGGCGCCGUUGGACUCAUUCGCUCUGGUUUCCUCCUGGCUUCUCAGACUCUUUUGCUCCUUUUGAGCAUCUGUGCUCCCCUGGGAGGGGCACCCACCAGGUCCUUUCCACCACCUCCACUCAGGACUGUCCAGGCCUUUCUGGCUUCCUCCUCGCCGCUCUGCUUCAGACCCCCAAACUGCAGAGCCAAGGACCAAUGGCUCCUUGGUCAUUCUGCUUGGACAUCUUAUAGGCUCUUCAAACUCAGUGUGUCCAUGACACAACCCAAUCCCUUUCCCUCUCAAGAGGGUUACUUCUUUAGAGUCUAGAAAAUGGCACCAGUAUCCGCCUAGUAAUGCAGACAAACUCCUGUCUCUCCUCCACAGGGCCAGGGCUGGGUGUCUUGGUUCCCUCUCUACCCUGCCCCCCACCCAGGCCUAGCACAGACCCUGGGGAGUAGCAGCCUUUUGGUAAAUGCAUUUCCUGGCUAGCUGGCUGGCUCCCAUUUACUCUCUCUCUUUUUUUUUAAAAUUUUUUUAUUAUAGUUGAUUUGCAAUGUUCUGUCAAUUUCUGCUGUACAGUAAAGUGACCCAGUUAUACAUAUAGAUAUAUUCUUUUUCUCACAUUAUCCUCCAUCAUGUUCCAUCACAAGUGACCAGAUUUAGCUCCCUGUGCUAUACAGCAGGAUCUCAUUGCUUAUCCACUCUAUAUGCAGUAGUUUGCAUCUAUUAGCACCAGACUCCCAGUCCAUCCCACUCCUCCCCCGCUGGCAACCACAAGUCUGUUCUCCAAGACCAUGAGUUUGUUUCUUUUCUGUAGAUAGGUUUAUUUGUGCUGUAUAUUAGAUUCCAGAUAUAAGUGAUAUCAUAUGGUAUUUGUCUUUUCUCUUUCUGACUGACUUCACUUAGUUUGAGAGUCUCUAGUUCCAUCCAUGUUGUUUUGUCUUUAUGGCUGAGUAGUAUUCUGUUGUGUAUACAUACCACCUCUUCUUAACCCAUUCAUCUGUCGAUGGACAUUUAGGUUGUUUCCAUGGCUUGGCUAUUGUGACCAGUGCUGCAAUGAACAUAGGGGUGCAUGUAUUUUUUUCAAUGAAAGUUUUGUCCAGAUAUUUGCCCAGGAGUGGGAUUGCUGGAUCAUAUGGUAGUUCUGUAUUUAGUUCCAUUUACUUUCUUUUUCAUUUGCUGGCUCAGUUAAUAAAUGAGAUCAUGUUUGCUGUGAGUCCA
This 2344-nucleotide long non-coding RNA is filed under the name Sus scrofa (pig). RNAcentral's name for it is "lncRNA (ENSSSCG00065011747.1)". Lineage: Eukaryota; Metazoa; Chordata; Mammalia; Artiodactyla; Suidae. The record is from RNAcentral.